ACCCCAGGUCAGGCGGGACUA
This 21-nucleotide ribosomal RNA is filed under the name Stewartia pseudocamellia x Stewartia ovata var. grandiflora. Its description in RNAcentral is "partial 26S ribosomal RNA". Lineage: Eukaryota; Viridiplantae; Streptophyta; Magnoliopsida; Ericales; Theaceae. The record is from RNAcentral.